UCGCGGCUUAUCACCGGCAGUCCCCUUAGAGUGCCCAACUGAAUGAUGGCAACUAAGGGCGAGGGUUGCGCUCGUUGCGGGACUUAACCAAACACCUCACGGCACGAGCUGACGACAGCCAUGCAGCACCUGUACCGCCCCCCUUGCGGGUAGCCCACUUUCAUGGGUUUAGACGGCCUUUCAAGCCUAGGUAAGGUUCUUCGCGUUGCAUCGAAUUAAACCACAUGCUCCACUGCUUGUGCGGGCCCCCGUCAACUCCUUUGAGUUUCACCCUUGCGACCGUACUCCCCAGGCGGAGUGCUUAAUGUGUUGGCUUCGGCACAGCAGGGGUCGAUACCCGCUACACCAAGCACUCAUCGUUUACGGCGUGGACUAC
RNAcentral lists this unclassified non-coding RNA (376 nucleotides) under uncultured bacterium. Its description in RNAcentral is "contains 16S-23S intergenic spacer region". The record is from RNAcentral.